Molecule: ribosomal RNA, 426 nt
Filed under: uncultured Opitutus sp.
Lineage: Bacteria; Pseudomonadati; Verrucomicrobiota; Opitutia; Opitutales; Opitutaceae
Description: bacterial SSU rRNA
Rfam family: Bacterial small subunit ribosomal RNA
Source: RNAcentral
UUUCGAAUCAUUCACAAUGGGCGAAAGCCUGAUGGUGCGACGCCGCGUGAGGGAUGAAGGUCUUCGGAUUGUAAACCUCUGUCACCGGGGAAGAAACGCUUUGAGUUAAUAGUUCAAAGCCUGACUUAACCCGGAGAGGAAGCAGUGGCUAACUCUGUGCCAGCAGCCGCGGUAAUACAGAGACUGCAAGCGUUAUUCGGAUUCACUGGGCGUAAAGGGUGCGCAGGCGGCCAAGUGUGUGAGGCGUGAAAGCCCGAUGCUUAACAUCGGAAUUGCACCUCAAACUACAUGGCUAGAGCAUUGGAGAGGGUAGCGGAAUUCACGGUGUAGCAGUGAAAUGCGUAGAUAUCGUGAGGAACACCAGAGGCGAAGGCGGCUACCUGGACAAUUGCUGACGCUCAGGCACGAAAGCGUGGGGAGCAAAAG